UAUAAAAUUAUUUAUUGAUUUGAGCUGUUAUCGAGUCGAACGCGAGCGAGCUGAUCCCAACUUAUGUUCAACUCGUUUAUUAAAUGACCUGAAGAUUUCAGUUCGUAUUUGGCUCGUUUACUAAACGAGCGAUUCGAUCUCGAGCUCAUUUCGAGCCGAAUACUAGUUAGCUCGUGAACAAGGAGCUGGAUUGCCACCCCUACCUGUAUGUGAGGAAAAGUAUUGAAUAUAAAAUUUAUGAACAGCAUGCUCUGGUAGAAACAGUAAAAAUUUCGAUUCAUUUCGGCACAAAAUUGCAAAUUUGCCCAGAAAUGUUUACAAGUCACUUUUUUGUCCGCGUAAAGUCUAUAGAAGUCGGCAGCCACACUUCCUCCCACCACCGGCAUUGACAAUUUAUUUAUAAUAUUAAUGAGAGAGAGAGAGAUUUACGCUACUGUGUCACGGACGCGUCCAUGUCGCACAGGCGCGUAUUUAGUCGGACGCAAUCCGUGUUCAUGUCGGUAGAUACUAUUGAUGAGAAUUGUAUUAACUUUCUCUCCUAUAAAAAAGAUAAAAAUAUUUUGAUAAAAUUAAUAUUUAUAUAUAAUAAAUAAAUAUUAUUAUAUUAAUAAUAUUAUAUUUUAUUUAUAGUAUUCAUGUUAUAUUAUAUUAAUAAUAUUAUAUUUUAUUAGUGAUGUUCAUAUCGUAUUCGUGUCCUAAAUUUUUGAAAACUGUCGAGUCAUCGUGUCCGAGUCGUGUCGUGUCUCAUGUCUCAUGUCUCGUGUCGNCGAGCCGAAUACUAGUUAGCUCGUGAACAAGGAGCUGGAUUGCCACCCCUACCUGUAUGUGAGGAAAAGUAUUGAAUAUAAAAUUUAUG
Molecule: long non-coding RNA, 856 nt
Filed under: Ananas comosus (pineapple)
Lineage: Eukaryota; Viridiplantae; Streptophyta; Magnoliopsida; Poales; Bromeliaceae
Description: long non-coding RNA (ACOM_LNC037524)
Source: RNAcentral